RNAcentral lists this ribosomal RNA (492 nucleotides) under uncultured bacterium. Its description in RNAcentral is "partial 16S ribosomal RNA". It matches the Rfam family "Bacterial small subunit ribosomal RNA", at positions 29 to 507 of the family's 1533-position model. The record is from RNAcentral.
AGUGAACACUGGCGGUAUGCCUAACACAUGCAAGUCGAACGGCAGCCCAGUAAGAGCUUGCUCUUACGGGUGGCGAGUGGCGGACGGGUGAGGAAUACAUCGGAAUCUACUUUUUCGUGGGGGAUAACGUAGGGAAACUUACGCUAAUACCGCAUACGACCUACGGGUGAAAGCAGGGGAUCUUCGGACCUUGCGCGAUUGAAUGAGCCGAUGUCGGGUUAGCUAGUUGGCGGGGUAAAGGCCCACCAAGGCGACGAUCCGUAGCUGGUCUGAGAGGAUGAUGAGCGACACUGGAACUGGGACACGGUCCAGACUCCUACGGGAGGCAGCAGUGGGGAAUAUUGGACAAUGGGCGAAAGCCUGAUCCAGCCAUACCGCGUGGGUGAAGAAGGCCUUCGGGUUGUAAAGCCCUUUUGUUGGGAAAGAAAAGCAGCAGGUUAAUACCCCGCUGUUCUGACGGUACCCAAAGAAUAAGCAACGGCUAACUUCGUG